Small nuclear RNA from Manis javanica (Malayan pangolin), 162 nucleotides. RefSeq annotates it as U1 spliceosomal RNA. The record is from RefSeq and is a predicted model, not a curated record. Lineage: Eukaryota; Metazoa; Chordata; Mammalia; Pholidota; Manidae.
AUACUUACCUGGCAGGGGAGAUGCCAUGAUCACGAGGUGGUUUUCCCGGGGCGAGGCUCAUCCACCUGCUUUCCGGAUGCUGACUCUUGCGAUUUCCCCAAAGGUAGGAAACUCAACUGAAUAAUUUGUGGUAGUGAAGGACUGCACUCACACUUUCCCCUG